Molecule: ribosomal RNA, 253 nt
Filed under: uncultured bacterium
Lineage: Bacteria
Description: partial 16S ribosomal RNA
Rfam family: Bacterial small subunit ribosomal RNA
Source: RNAcentral
UACGAAGGGGGCUAGCGUUGUUCGGAAUUACUGGGCGUAAAGCGUACGUAGGCGGCUAUUUAAGUUAGAGGUGAAAGCCCAGGGCUCAACCCUGGAACUGCCUUUAAAACUGGGUAGCUUGAACACGGGAGAGGUGAGUGGAAUUCCGAGUGUAGAGGUGAAAUUCGUAGAUAUUCGGAGGAACACCAGUGGCGAAGGCGGCUCACUGGACCGUUGUUGACGCUGAGGUACGAAAGCGUGGGGAGCAAACAGG